AUUGAACGCUGGCGGCAUGCCUUACACAUGCAAGUCGAACGGCAGCGGGGGAGAAGCUUGCUUUUCCUGCCGGCGAGUGGCGAACGGGUGAGUAAUACAUCGGAACGUGCCCUGUAGUGGGGGAUAACUAGUCGAAAGAUUAGCUAAUACCGCAUACGACCUGAGGGUGAAAGUGGGGGACCGCAAGGCCUCAUGCUAUAGGAACGGCCGAUGUCUGAUUAGCUAGUUGGUGGGGUAAAGGCCUACCAAGGCGACGAUCAGUAGCUGGUCUGAGAGGACGAGCAGCCAGACUGGGACUGAGACACGGCCCAGACUCCUACGGGAGGCAGCAGUGGGGAAUUUUGGACAAUGGGCGAAAGCCUGAUCCAGCAAUGCCGCGUGUGUGAAGAAGGCCUUCGGGUUGUAAAGCACUUUUGUCCGGAAAGAAAUGGCUCUGGUUAAUACCUGGGGUCGAUGACGGUACCGGAAGAAUAAGGACCGGCUAACUACGUGCCAGCCGCCGCCGUAA
RNAcentral lists this ribosomal RNA (508 nucleotides) under uncultured bacterium. Its description in RNAcentral is "partial 16S ribosomal RNA". It matches the Rfam family "Bacterial small subunit ribosomal RNA", at positions 30 to 523 of the family's 1533-position model. The record is from RNAcentral.